RNAcentral lists this ribosomal RNA (768 nucleotides) under uncultured bacterium. Its description in RNAcentral is "bacterial SSU rRNA". It matches the Rfam family "Bacterial small subunit ribosomal RNA", at positions 54 to 816 of the family's 1533-position model. The record is from RNAcentral.
CAUGCAAGUCGAACGGCAGCACGGACUUCGGCCUGGUGGCGAGUGGCGAACGGGUGAGUAAUGUAUCGGAACGUGCCCAGUCGUGGGGGAUAACGUAGUGAAAAUUACGCUAAUACCGCAUACGAUCUAUGGAUGAAAGCGGGGGAUCGCAAGACCUCGCGCGAUUGGAGCGGCCGAUAUCAGAUUAGGUAGUUGGUGGGGUAAAGGCCCACCAAGCCAACGAUCUGUAGCUGGUCUGAGAGGACGACCAGCCACACUGGAACUGAGACACGGUCCAGACUCCUACGGGAGGCAGCAGUGGGGAAUUUUGGACAAUGGGCGCAAGCCUGAUCCAGCCAUUCCGCGUGCAGGAUGAAGGCCCUCGGGUUGUAAACUGCUUUUGUACAGAACGAAAAGGUUUCUACUAAUACUAGGAGCUCAUGACGGUACUGUAAGAAUAAGCACCGGCUAACUACGUGCCAGCAGCCGCGGUAAUACGUAGGGUGCAAGCGUUAAUCGGAAUUACUGGGCGUAAAGCGUGCGCAGGCGGUUAUAUAAGUCAGAUGUGAAAUCCCCGGGCUCAACCUGGGAACUGCAUUUGAGACUGUAUAGCUAGAGUACGGCAGAGGGGGAUGGAAUUCCGCGUGUAGCAGUGAAAUGCGUAGAUAUGCGGAGGAACACCGAUGGCGAAGGCAAUCCCCUGGGCCUGUACUGACGCUCAUGCACGAAAGCGUGGGGAGCAAACAGGAUUAGAUACCCUGGUAGUCCACGCCCCUAAACGAUGUCACU